RNAcentral lists this ribosomal RNA (285 nucleotides) under Corticium roseocarneum. RNAcentral describes it as "partial mitochondrial large subunit ribosomal RNA". It matches the Rfam family "Bacterial large subunit ribosomal RNA", at positions 1783 to 2078 of the family's 2925-position model. The record is from RNAcentral. Lineage: Eukaryota; Fungi; Basidiomycota; Agaricomycetes; Corticiales; Corticiaceae.
GGAGGCNCCGUAGCUGUNUACUAACACCACARUUMASAGCAAUGAUUAANAUUAUAGUAUUCUGAAUGAAAUNUGCCCGAUGCCAUUAAUAUAAGAGAGGUCAUCUAAAAGUGACUAAUCGAAAGUCUGGUUAAUAGCGGUCUUAACUAUGAGGAUCCAAAGGUAGCAAAAUCAGUUGGCCAUUAAAUGUGGUCUGGUAUCAAUAGUGUAACGAUGGUCUCACUGUCUCUACAACUUGCUCAGUGAAAUUGAAUUACCCGUGCAGAUNCGNAUUACCUCCAGGGG